RNAcentral lists this ribosomal RNA (409 nucleotides) under Streptococcus sp. oral taxon G62. RNAcentral describes it as "bacterial SSU rRNA". It matches the Rfam family "Bacterial small subunit ribosomal RNA", at positions 73 to 470 of the family's 1533-position model. Lineage: Bacteria; Bacillati; Bacillota; Bacilli; Lactobacillales; Streptococcaceae. The record is from RNAcentral.
GAGGAGCUUGCUCUUCUUGGAUGAGUUGCGAACGGGUGAGUAACGCGUAGGUAACCUGCCUGGUAGCGGGGGAUAACUAUUGGAAACGAUAGCUAAUACCGCAUGAAAUGGAUUAUCGCAUGAUAAUCGAUUGAAAGGUGCAAAUGCAUCACUACCAGAUGGACCUGCGUUGUAUUAGCUAGUUGGUGAGGUAACGGCUCACCAAGGCAACGAUACAUAGCCGACCUGAGAGGGUGAUCGGCCACACUGGGACUGAGACACGGCCCAGACUCCUACGGGAGGCAGCAGUAGGGAAUCUUCGGCAAUGGACGGAAGUCUGACCGAGCAACGCCGCGUGAGUGAAGAAGGUCUUCGGAUCGUAAAGCUCUGUUGUAAGAGAAGAACGAGUGUGAGAGUGGAAAGUCACACU